UGGGGGAAUUUUGGACAAUGGGCGAAAGCCUGAUCCAGCAAUGCCGCGUGUGUGAAGAAGGCCUUCGGGUUGUAAAGCACUUUUGUCCGGAAAGAAAUCCUUGGCUCUAAUACAGUCGGGGGAUGACGGUACCGGAAGAAUAAGCACCGGCUAACUACGUGCCAGCAGCCGCGGUAAUACGUAGGGUGCAAGCGUUAAUCGGAAUUACUGGGCGUAAAGCGUGCGCAGGCGGUUUGCUAAGACCGAUGUGAAAUCCCCGGGCUCAACCUGGGAACUGCAUUGGUGACUGGCAGGCUAGAGUAUGGCAGAGGGGGGUAGAAUUCCACGUGUAGCAGUGAAAUGCGUAGAGAUGUGGAGGAAUACCGAUGGCGAAGGCAGCCCCCUGGGCCAAUACUGACGCUCAUGCACGAAAGCGUGGGGGAGCAAACAGGAUUAGAUACCCUGGGUAGUCCACGCCCUAAACGAUGUCAACUAGUUGUUGGGGAUUCAUUUCCUUAGUAACGUAGCUAACGCGUGAAGUUGACCGCCUGGGGGAGUACGGUCGCAAGAUUAAAACUUAAAUGAAUUGACGGGGUCAUAGCUGUUUCCU
RNAcentral lists this ribosomal RNA (589 nucleotides) under uncultured bacterium. RNAcentral's name for it is "partial 16S ribosomal RNA". It matches the Rfam family "Bacterial small subunit ribosomal RNA", at positions 354 to 1375 of the family's 1533-position model. The record is from RNAcentral.